GCGGCGUGCUCUAACACAUGCAAGUCUAGGGGAAAGUUUUCUUCGGAGAAUGAGUACACUGGCGCACGGGUGAGUAAUAUAUAAGUAACCUACCUUGUGGAUUGGAAUAACGUAUAGAAAUUUGCGCUAAUACCGAAUGAUGCAGCGGCACCGCAUGGUGAUGUUGUUAAAGUCAUUUAUGGCGCCACAAGAUGGGCUUGUAUUCGAUUAGCUAGUUGGUGGGGUAAUAGCCCACCAAGGCAACGAUCUAUAGCUGGUCUGAGAGGAUGAUCAGCCACACUGGGACUGAGACACGGCCCAGACUCCUACGGGAGGCAGCAGUGAGGAAUCUUGGACAAUGGGCGAAAGCCUGAUCCAGCCAUGCCGCGUGAAUGAUGAAGGCCUUAGGGUUGUGAAAUUCUUUCAGCAGGGAAGAUAAUGACGGUACCUGCAGAAGAAGCCCCGGCUACU
This 450-nucleotide ribosomal RNA is filed under the name uncultured bacterium. RNAcentral's name for it is "bacterial SSU rRNA". It matches the Rfam family "Bacterial small subunit ribosomal RNA", at positions 39 to 501 of the family's 1533-position model. The record is from RNAcentral.